UCAAGCACGGCUUGUGUGUUGGGCUCUCGCCCCCCGCUUCCGGGGGGCGGGCCCGAAAGGCAG
RNAcentral lists this ribosomal RNA (63 nucleotides) under Penicillium oxalicum. RNAcentral's name for it is "5.8S ribosomal RNA". The record is from RNAcentral. Lineage: Eukaryota; Fungi; Ascomycota; Eurotiomycetes; Eurotiales; Aspergillaceae.